This 1058-nucleotide ribosomal RNA is filed under the name Plasmodium vivax (malaria parasite P. vivax). RNAcentral's name for it is "SSU rRNA". It matches the Rfam family "Eukaryotic small subunit ribosomal RNA", at positions 604 to 1460 of the family's 1831-position model. The record is from RNAcentral. Lineage: Eukaryota; Apicomplexa; Aconoidasida; Haemosporida; Plasmodiidae.
UUAAAAUUGUUGCAGUUAAAACGCUCGUAGUUGAAUUUCAAAGAAUCGACAUUUUAAGCAACGCUUCUAGCUUAAUCCACAUAACUGAUACUUCGUAUCGACUUUGUGCGCAUUUUGCUAUUAUGUGUUCUUUUAAUUAAAAUGAUUCUUUUUAAGGACUUUCUUUGCUUCGGCUUGGAAGUCCUUGUUACUUUGAGUAAAUUAGAGUGUUCAAAGCAAACAGAUAUAGCAUUGCGCGUUUGAAUACUACAGCAUGGAAUAACAAAAUUGAACAAGUCAGAAUUUUGUUCUUUUUUCUUAUUUUGGCUUAGUUACGAUUAAUAGGAGUAGCUUGGGGGCAUUUGUAUUCAGAUGUCAGAGGUGAAAUUCUUAGAUUUUCUGGAGACAAACAACUGCGAAAGCAUUUGCCUAAAAUACUUCCAUUAAUCAAGAACGAAAGUUAAGGGAGUGAAGACGAUCAGAUACCGUCGUAAUCUUAACCAUAAACUAUGCCGACUAGGCUUUGGAUGAAAGAUUUUAAAAUAAGAGUUUUCUCUUCGGAGUUUACUCUUAGAUUGCUUCCUUCAGUGCCUUAUGAGAAAUCAAAGUCUUUGGGUUCUGGGGCGAGUAUUCGCGCAAGCGAGAAAGUUAAAAGAAUUGACGGAAGGGCACCACCAGGCGUGGAGCUUGCGGCUUAAUUUGACUCAACACGGGAAAACUCACUAGUUUAAGACAAGAGUAGGAUUGACAGAUUAAUAGCUCUUUCUUGAUUUCUUGGAUGGUGAUGCAUGGCCGUUUUUAGUUCGUGAAUAUGAUUUGUCUGGUUAAUUCCGAUAACGAACGAGAUCUUAACCUGCUAAUUAGCGGCAAAUACGAUAUAUUCUUACGUGGGACUGAAUUCGGUUGAUUUGCUUACUUUGAAGAAAAUAUUGGGAUACGUAACAGUUUCCCUUUCCCUUUUCUACUUAGUUCGCUUUUCAUACUGUUUCUUUUUCGCGUAAGAAUGUAUUUGCUUGAUUGUAAAGCUUCUUAGAGGAACGAUGUGUGUCUAACACAAGGAAGUUUAAGGCAACAACAGG